RNAcentral lists this ribosomal RNA (1625 nucleotides) under Serratia marcescens. Its description in RNAcentral is "partial 23S ribosomal RNA". It matches the Rfam family "Bacterial large subunit ribosomal RNA", at positions 1219 to 2823 of the family's 2925-position model. Lineage: Bacteria; Pseudomonadati; Pseudomonadota; Gammaproteobacteria; Enterobacterales; Yersiniaceae. The record is from RNAcentral.
CGUUGUUGGGUAGGGGAGCGUUCUGUAAGCCGUUGAAGGUGGCCUGUGAGGGUUGCUGGAGGUAUCAGAAGUGCGAAUGCUGACAUAAGUAACGAUAAAGCGGGUGAAAAGCCCGCUCGCCGGAAGACCAAGGGUUCCUGUCCAACGUUAAUCGGGGCAGGGUGAGUCGACCCCUAAGGCGAGGCUGAAAAGCGUAGUCGAUGGGAAACAGGUUAAUAUUCCUGUACUUGGUGUUACUGCGAAGGGGGGACGGAGAAGGCUAGGCUAGCCGGGCGACGGUUGUCCCGGUUUAAGCGUGUAGGGGGUGUGACCUGGUAAAUCCGGUUGCAUAUCAACCCUGAGGCGUGAUGACGAUGCACUACGGUGCAGAAGUAGUUGAUGCCCUGCUUCCAGGAAAAGCCUCUAAGCUCCAGGUAACAUUGAAUCGUACCCCAAACCGACACAGGUGGUCAGGUAGAGAAUACCAAGGCGCUUGAGAGAACUCGGGUGAAGGAACUAGGCAAAAUGGUGCCGUAACUUCGGGAGAAGGCACGCUGGCAUGUAGGUGAAGUCCCUUGCGGAUGGAGCUGAAGCCAGUCGAAGAUACCAGCUGGCUGCAACUGUUUAAUAAAAACACAGCACUGUGCAAACACGAAAGUGGACGUAUACGGUGUGACGCCUGCCCGGUGCUGGAAGGUUAAUUGAUGGGGUCAGCCGCAAGGCGAAGCUCUUGAUCGAAGCCCCAGUAAACGGCGGCCGUAACUAUAACGGUCCUAAGGUAGCGAAAUUCCUUGUCGGGUAAGUUCCGACCUGCACGAAUGGCGUAAUGAUGGCCAGGCUGUCUCCACCCGAGACUCAGUGAAAUUGAACUCGCUGUGAAGAUGCAGUGUACCCGCGGCAAGACGGAAAGACCCCGUGAACCUUUACUAUAGCUUGACACUGAACAUUGAGCCUUGAUGUGUAGGAUAGGUGGGAGGCUUUGAAGCGUGGACGCCAGUCUGCGUGGAGCCAUCCUUGAAAUACCACCCUUUAAUGUUUGAUGUUCUAACUCGGCCCCAUAAUCUGGGGUGAGGACAGUGUCUGGUGGGUAGUUUGACUGGGGCGGUCUCCUCCCAAAGAGUAACGGAGGAGCACGAAGGUUAGCUAAUCACGGUCGGACAUCGUGAGGUUAGUGCAAAGGCAUAAGCUAGCUUGACUGCGAGAGUGACGGCUCGAGCAGGUACGAAAGUAGGUCUUAGUGAUCCGGUGGUUCUGAAUGGAAGGGCCAUCGCUCAACGGAUAAAAGGUACUCCGGGGAUAACAGGCUGAUACCGCCCAAGAGUUCAUAUCGACGGCGGUGUUUGGCACCUCGAUGUCGGCUCAUCACAUCCUGGGGCUGAAGUAGGUCCCAAGGGUAUGGCUGUUCGCCAUUUAAAGUGGUACGCGAGCUGGGUUUAGAACGUCGUGAGACAGUUCGGUCCCUAUCUGCCGUGGGCGUUGGAAGAUUGAGAGGGGUUGCUCCUAGUACGAGAGGACCGGAGUGAACGCACCACUGGUGUUCGGGUUGUCAUGCCAAUGGCAUUGCCCGGUAGCUAAGUGCGGAAAAGAUAAGCGCUGAAAGCAUCUAAGCGCGAAACUUGCCUCAAGAUGAGUCUUCCCUGGGCCUU